AACGCACAUUGCGCCCCUUGGUAUUCCAUGGGGCAUGCCUGUUCGAGCGUCAUUUGUACCUUCAAGCUUUGCUUGGUGUUGGGUGUUUGUCCUCUCCUUGGUGUUUGGACUCGCCUUAAAACAAUUGGCAGCCAGUGUUUUGGUAUUGAAGCGCAGCACAAUUUGCGAUUCUGGCCUUAAAAUACUAGCGUCCAUAAGUAUUUUCUCACUUUUGACCUCGGAUCAGGUAGGGAUACCCGCUGAACUUAA
This 249-nucleotide unclassified non-coding RNA is filed under the name Phaeosphaeria sp. RNAcentral's name for it is "partial contains 5.8S ribosomal RNA, internal transcribed spacer 2, and large subunit ribosomal RNA". Lineage: Eukaryota; Fungi; Ascomycota; Dothideomycetes; Pleosporales; Phaeosphaeriaceae. RNAcentral also lists the same sequence under 1 other name. The record is from RNAcentral.